AUAACUUGAUGAGUGAAAGACAGUUUGUUGCUGAAUGUCAUUCCCUGUCUGUCAGGGUCUUGGGGUUGUUCUUAGCGUUUUGUCGCCAUGGGUUUGGUUUGGGUGGUUGUGCUUCUUCUUUUCCACCAGAGGGCGCUGUCAGGACGGUGGGCUGGAUUACGUCAGCGAGCACACCGGUUGCGAGUUGAGCUCAUCAGGAGCAGCGUCUUCAGGAGCAACCUGCCAGUCUUCGGCGCCUGAGUGUCUUCCCGUAUUGACCAUUCACCCGAUGCAGUGGAAGGAUUUCCCGUUGUGCUGAGUUUCUCGACUCACCUUCUCUGUGCAACAACAGGCUCCCCUCGGAUUCCUUGGCUGGCUGCUCCCUCGCUCCUCGUGCCUCGCUCCUCGUCCUGCUCCGCGUUUCCACCGUGGACACCGAGCCCACCUGUCCGCCCGCCUACACACACACACACACCCUGCCGCUACCCUGCAGUGAAUCUCUUCCACGCUUCAGCUGUCUACCCCUCAAUUCCCGAUCGCUCCCCCUCCCGAGACGCUCCUGUGGACCGGACCCGAAUCCCUGUCAUUCCUCGUUCACUGUUGUGUAAAAUAAACCUUGUAAAUAUUUGCACUCCA
Poeciliopsis prolifica (blackstripe livebearer) is the source of this 615-nucleotide long non-coding RNA. RefSeq lists it as uncharacterized. NCBI's taxonomy places the organism in Eukaryota, Metazoa, Chordata, Actinopteri, Cyprinodontiformes, Poeciliidae. The transcript has 3 exons. The record is from RefSeq and is a predicted model, not a curated record.